This 86-nucleotide transfer RNA is filed under the name Actinomycetota bacterium. Its description in RNAcentral is "tRNA-Leu". It matches the Rfam family "tRNA". Rfam says of the family: Transfer RNA (tRNA) molecules are approximately 80 nucleotides in length. Their secondary structure includes four short double-helical elements and three loops (D, anti-codon, and T loops). The record is from RNAcentral. Lineage: Bacteria; Bacillati; Actinomycetota.
GUCGGAGUGGCGGAACUAGGUAGACGCGCUAGGUUGAGGGCCUAGUGGGCGAUAAGCCCGUGGGGGUUCAAAUCCCCCCUCCGACA